Molecule: ribosomal RNA, 1569 nt
Filed under: Halichoerus grypus (gray seal)
Lineage: Eukaryota; Metazoa; Chordata; Mammalia; Carnivora; Phocidae
Description: 16S rRNA
Rfam family: Bacterial large subunit ribosomal RNA
Source: RNAcentral
GCUAGCCCAAAUAACAAACAACUAAACUACAAAGCAAACAUCAAACAAAACAUUUAGUCAUACAUUAAAGUAUAGGAGAUAGAAAUUUUUAACCAGGAGCUAUAGAGACAGUACCAGCAAGGGAAAGAUGAAAGAGAAUUCAAAGUAAAAAAUAGCAAAGAUUACCCCUUCUACCUUUUGCAUAAUGAAUUAGCUAGAACAACUUAACAAAGAGAACUUAAGCUAAGCCCCCCGAAACCAGACGAGCUACCUGCGAACAAUCCCCUGGGAUGAACUCAUCUAUGUGGCAAAAUAGUGAGAAGAUUCGCAGGUAGAGGUGAAAAGCCUAACGAGCCUGGUGAUAGCUGGUUACCCAGAAUAGAAUUUCAGUUCAACUUUAAACUUACCUAAAACCCAAGAAUUUUAAUGUAAGCUUAAAAUAUAGUCUAAAAAGGUACAGCUUUUUAGAUCAAGGAUACAACCUUACUUAGAGAGUAAACACAAAUUAGACCAUAGUAGGCCUAAAAGCAGCCAUCAAUUAAGAAAGCGUUAAAGCUCAACAAUUCAAUCAACAUAAUACCAAAAGAACUCAAACAACUCCUAACGUACAUCUGGGUCAAUCUAUUCAAUUAUAGUUGAGACAAUGCUAAUAUGAGUAACAAGAAACCUUUUCUCCUUGCAUAAACUUAUAACCGAAAUGGAUAUCCACUGAUAGUUAACAACAAGAUAAAACUAACCAACCAAUUAAUUAUACCUAUCAAACUAAUUGUUAAGCCAACACAGGAAUGCAACCAAGGAAAGAUUAAAAGAAGUAAAAGGAACUCGGCAAACACAAACCCCGCCUGUUUACCAAAAACAUCACCUCCAGCAUUACUAGUAUUGGAGGCACUGCCUGCCCAGUGACAUAAGUUAAACAACCGCGGUAUCCUGACCGUGCAAAGGUAGCAUAAUCAUUUGUUCUAUAAAUAAGGACUUGUAUGAACGGCCACACGAGGGUUUAACUGUCUCUUACUUCCAAUCAGUGAAAUUGACCUUCCCGUGAAGAGGCGGGAAUAGAAUAAUAAGACGAGAAGACCCUAUGGAGCUUUAAUUAACUAACUCAACAGAACAAAUCCAGUCAACCAACAGGGAAUAAAAAUUUCUAUAAUGAGUUAGCAAUUUAGGUUGGGGUGACCUCGGAGAACAAAACAACCUCCGAGUGAUAUAAACUAAGACAAACCAGUCAAAGUGCCGCAUCAUUAAUUGAUCCAAAAAUUUUUUUGAUCAACGGAACAAGUUACCCUAGGGAUAACAGCGCAAUCCUAUUCGAGAGUCCAUAUCGACAAUAGGGUUUACGACCUCGAUGUUGGAUCAGGACAUCCUAAUGGUGCAGCAGCUAUUAAGGGUUCGUUUGUUCAACGAUUAAAGUCCUACGUGAUCUGAGUUCAGACCGGAGUAAUCCAGGUCGGUUUCUAUCUAUUAACCAGUUCCUCCCAGUACGAAAGGACAAGAGAAACAAGGCCCACCUCAACACAGGCGCCUUAAGACUAAUAGAUGAUAUAAUCUUAAUCUAGCCAGUCUAAUCCCCCAUGAAUCCAAGAAACAGGACCU